This is a long non-coding RNA of Zonotrichia leucophrys gambelii, 823 nucleotides long. RefSeq lists it as uncharacterized. The transcript has 3 exons. The record is from RefSeq and is a predicted model, not a curated record. NCBI's taxonomy places the organism in Eukaryota, Metazoa, Chordata, Aves, Passeriformes, Passerellidae.
GAGGAGAGAGAUGGAGUUUGUUGGCUGUGAAGAAGAAGGUGUCAGUGCUGUAAGGAGAUGCCCAUGAGACAUGACUGACAAGCAAGGAAAAGAUGCAACUCUAGAGUAUGCUUCUUUCCCACUAUUUGAAGACAAACUUGAAUUAUCAGUUUAAGUUGGUCCUGCUGUCAGAAGAAACAGUCUUGGAGUCUUCCCCCUUCUUCAUGUGUUCAUCAUGAAGUGUGAGAUGCACCAUGUGAUGAAAUUCUGGGGUCUGCAUUGGUGAAUCCCAUAGCAAAAGGAGGGGGAAAGGAGAAGGGAAAAGAAACAAACCCAACAUGACCUGAUGUCCUGGAAGUUGUGCUGAGCAGAUACUGAGGACCUAUGGGAGAUGAGUCUAUGGAAGAAAGAAACAGCAGAGUUGGAAUCAAAAACCAGCAAAUGGCUGCCAGUGUCUUUGUGGCUGUGACUGUUCCUGAAACAGCAGCAGCAAGAGUGGGAAUAUUUCCCAGGCAGUAAUCUAUAUAGUAAGAACUAGAAAAACUACUGUGCUGUUAUAUGCUGGGUCACCUCAGGUGGAAUUCCAGGGAGAUACUAGGGGCUUUCCCUUUGAGUGCCAUCCAACCUCUGCCAUGUACAACCCAAGACAGAUUUACACAUGUGAAAAAUAUAAGAUUGGAAGUACAAGUUUACUCCAGCUACAUUUGAACUUGUUGUGAAUCUUGCAAUCCAUGUCCUUUGCAUUUUUCUGUCCAUAAGUCCAUUAUCUGAACAGACUCUUAUGCUGUUAUGCUCACAACACUGUCAUAGAUAAUUAAAAAUCAUGGAAACUGUGAUAAAUGAA